Molecule: ribosomal RNA, 133 nt
Filed under: uncultured bacterium
Lineage: Bacteria
Description: partial 16S ribosomal RNA
Source: RNAcentral
ACGGAGUUAGCCGGUGCUUAUUCAUAUAAUACCGUCAUUAUCUUCUUAUAUAAAAGGAGUUUACGCACCGAAAUGUGUCAUCCUCCACGCGGCGUUGCUGCAUCAGGCUUUCGCCCAUUGUGCAAUAUUCCCA